RNAcentral lists this small nuclear RNA (157 nucleotides) under Chrysemys picta bellii (western painted turtle). Its description in RNAcentral is "U1 spliceosomal RNA (ENSCPBG00000023329.1)". It matches the Rfam family "U1 spliceosomal RNA". From Rfam's summary of the family: U1 is a small nuclear RNA (snRNA) component of the spliceosome (involved in pre-mRNA splicing). Its 5' end forms complementary base pairs with the 5' splice junction, thus defining the 5' donor site of an intron. Lineage: Eukaryota; Metazoa; Chordata; Testudines; Emydidae. The record is from Rfam by way of RNAcentral.
CAACGGCUGGCAGGGGAGAUACCAUGAUCACAAAGGUGGUUUUCCCAGGAUGAGGCUCAUCCAUUGCACUGCGGGUGUGCUGACCCCUGCGAUUUCCCCGAAUGCGGGAAACUCGACUGCAUAAUUUGUGGUAGUGGGGGACUGCGUUUGUGCUCAA